RNAcentral lists this ribosomal RNA (206 nucleotides) under uncultured bacterium. Its description in RNAcentral is "partial 16S ribosomal RNA". It matches the Rfam family "Bacterial small subunit ribosomal RNA", at positions 568 to 774 of the family's 1533-position model. The record is from RNAcentral.
CUCGUAGGUGGCCAACUAAGUCAGACGUGAAAUCCCUCGGCUUAACCGGGGAACUGCGUCUGAUACUGGAUGGCUUGAGUUUGGGAGAGGGACGCGGAAUUCCAGGUGUAGCGGUGAAAUGCGUAGAUAUCUGGAGGAACACCGGUGGCGAAGGCGGCGUCCUGGACCAAUACUGACAUUGAGGAGCGAAAGCCAGGGAGCAAACG